GUGUCAGCAGCCGCGGUAAUACGUAGGGUGCGAGCGUUAAUCGGAAUCACUGGGCGUAAAGGGUGCGCGGGUGGCUUGCCAAGACCCCUGUAAAAUCCUACGGCUCAACCGUAGUGCAGCGGAGGUUACUGGUAAGCUUGAGUAUGGCAGAGGGGGGUAGAAUUCCAGGUGUAGCGGUGAAAUGCGUAGAUAUCUGGAGGAAUACCGAAGGCGAAGGCAACCCCCUGGGCCAUCACUGACACUGAGGCACGAAAGCGUGGGGAGCAAACAGGAUUAGAAACCCGCGUAGUCC
Molecule: ribosomal RNA, 292 nt
Filed under: uncultured bacterium
Lineage: Bacteria
Description: partial 16S ribosomal RNA
Rfam family: Bacterial small subunit ribosomal RNA
Source: RNAcentral